GACGGAGGAUGCAAGCGUUAUCCGGAAUGAUUGGGCGUAAAGCGUCCGCAGGUGGCAGUUCAAGUCUGCUGUCAAAGACCGGGGCUUAACUUCGGAAAGGCAGUGGAAACUGAACAGCUAGAGUAUGGUAGGGGCAGAGGGAAUUCCUGGUGUAGCGGUGAAAUGCGUAGAGAUCAGGAAGAACAUCGGUGGCGAAGGCGGCCUGCUGGGCUCUUGCUGACACUGAGGCGCGACAGCGUGGGGAGCAAACAGG
RNAcentral lists this ribosomal RNA (253 nucleotides) under uncultured bacterium. Its description in RNAcentral is "partial 16S ribosomal RNA". It matches the Rfam family "Bacterial small subunit ribosomal RNA", at positions 524 to 776 of the family's 1533-position model. The record is from RNAcentral.